This 477-nucleotide ribosomal RNA is filed under the name uncultured bacterium. Its description in RNAcentral is "SSU rRNA". It matches the Rfam family "Bacterial small subunit ribosomal RNA", at positions 26 to 521 of the family's 1533-position model. The record is from RNAcentral.
AGGACGAACGCUGGCGGCGUGCUUAACACAUGCAAGUCGAACGGAAAGGUCUCUUCGGAGAUACUCGAGUGGCGAACGGGUGAGUAACACGUGGGUGAUCUGCCCUGCACUUCGGGAUAAGCCUGGGAAACUGGGUCUAAUACCGAAUAUGACCACGGGAUGCAUGUCCUGUGGUGGAAAGCUUUUGCGGUGUGGGAUGGGCCCGCGGCCUAUCAGCUAGUUGGUGGGGUCACGGCCUACCAAGGCUACGACGGGUAGCCGGCCUGAGAGGGUGUCCGGCCACACUGGGACUGAGAUACGGCCCAGACUCCUACGGGAGGCAGCAGUGGGGAAUAUUGCACAAUGGGCGCAAGCCUGAUGCAGCGACGCCGCGUGGGGAUGACGGCCUUCGGGUUGUAACCUCUUUCAGCAGGGACGAAGCGAAGUGACGGUACCUGCAGAAGAAGCACCGGCCAACUACGCGCCAGCAGCCGCGGU